UAGAAAGCUAAGAAUAGGAGUAGUAAGAAUUUUGAAGCUUAUAGAGAGCCAAAGGUGGGUGGAAUUUGGCAGUGGAUUGUUCUGAACUUGCCUAGGAGCUGUUUACAGGGAGUAAACCGUAGAUCUACGUUAUAAGAUAAAUAAUCUUUAUGAUUAUUGUAAAGUGAACUUAUUUAAGUUAACUAGAGUGGUACCGCGAGAGUUAAACCUCGUCUCUAAA
RNAcentral lists this non-coding RNA (220 nucleotides) under Terrisporobacter sp. Its description in RNAcentral is "T-box sequence". It matches the Rfam family "T-box leader". From Rfam's summary of the family: Uncharged tRNA acts as the effector for transcription antitermination of genes in the T-box leader family. The record is from RNAcentral. Lineage: Bacteria; Bacillati; Bacillota; Clostridia; Peptostreptococcales; Peptostreptococcaceae.